This 80-nucleotide transfer RNA is filed under the name Caudoviricetes sp. RNAcentral describes it as "tRNA-OTHER". Lineage: Duplodnaviria; Heunggongvirae; Uroviricota; Caudoviricetes. The record is from RNAcentral.
GGGCCCGUGACCGUGUAUUCGACCGGGAUUAAAGCCGACGCGCACUUCUCGGGACGUGGGUUCGACUCCCACCGGGUCCA